RNAcentral lists this ribosomal RNA (590 nucleotides) under Saccharomyces cerevisiae (brewer's yeast). RNAcentral describes it as "eukaryotic LSU rRNA". It matches the Rfam family "Eukaryotic large subunit ribosomal RNA", at positions 37 to 641 of the family's 3401-position model. Lineage: Eukaryota; Fungi; Ascomycota; Saccharomycetes; Saccharomycetales; Saccharomycetaceae. The record is from RNAcentral.
UGCAUAUCAAUAAGCGGAGGAAAAGAAACCAACCGGGAUUGCCUUAGUAACGGCGAGUGAAGCGGCAAAAGCUCAAAUUUGAAAUCUGGUACCUUCGGUGCCCGAGUUGUAAUUUGGAGAGGGCAACUUUGGGGCCGUUCCUUGUCUAUGUUCCUUGGAACAGGACGUCAUAGAGGGUGAGAAUCCCGUGUGGCGAGGAGUGCGGUUCUUUGUAAAGUGCCUUCGAAGAGUCGAGUUGUUUGGGAAUGCAGCUCUAAGUGGGUGGUAAAUUCCAUCUAAAGCUAAAUAUUGGCGAGAGACCGAUAGCGAACAAGUACAGUGAUGGAAAGAUGAAAAGAACUUUGAAAAGAGAGUGAAAAAGUACGUGAAAUUGUUGAAAGGGAAGGGCAUUUGAUCAGACAUGGUGUUUUGUGCCCUCUGCUCCUUGUGGGUAGGGGAAUCUCGCAUUUCACUGGGCCAGCAUCAGUUUUGGUGGCAGGAUAAAUCCAUAGGAAUGUAGCUUGCCUCGGUAAGUAUUAUAGCCUGUGGGAAUACUGCCAGCUGGGACUGAGGACUGCGACGUAAGUCAAGGAUGCUGCAUAAGAGGGUAU